Mustela lutreola (European mink) is the source of this 327-nucleotide long non-coding RNA. RefSeq lists it as uncharacterized. The record is from RefSeq and is a predicted model, not a curated record. The transcript has 3 exons. NCBI's taxonomy places the organism in Eukaryota, Metazoa, Chordata, Mammalia, Carnivora, Mustelidae.
GAUGAACCAAACUUGCAGCCCAGUUAUAAAUUCCACUUGGUCAUGGUGAAUAAUCCUCUUAAUGUGCUGUUGGAUCCUAUUGAUUCAGUGUACUCUUUGAAGUCAUCAGAGGAGAUGAACUGGAACAGGACAAGAAUUUUCCCCAUCUUUUCCUCUCAAGGCAUAAAGGCUGAGACAGAUCACGUUUGUGGCCAGAGAGAGCAGUGUGCUGGGAAACUUGGCUUGGAUCUUGGAUCUCAAAGUCCCAAAGAUGCUUCCUCAUGAUUGAAGUAAAAACAAGACAGAACAAAGUCCAGCCACCGGACUCUUGAGCUCUCCUGCUAAUUG